RNAcentral lists this ribosomal RNA (388 nucleotides) under uncultured bacterium. Its description in RNAcentral is "bacterial SSU rRNA". It matches the Rfam family "Bacterial small subunit ribosomal RNA", at positions 30 to 416 of the family's 1533-position model. The record is from RNAcentral.
AUUGAACGCUGGCGGCAUGCCUUACACAUGCAAGUCGAACGGCAGCACGGGAGCUUGCUCCUGGUGGCGAGUGGCGAACGGGUGAGUAAUACAUCGGAACGUACCCUGAAGUGGGGGAUAACGUAGCGAAAGUUACGCUAAUACCGCAUAUCCUGUGAGCAGGAAAGAGGGGGAUCGCAAGACCUCUUGCUUUAGGAGCGGCCGAUGUCGGAUUAGCUAGUUGGUGAGGUAAAGGCUCACCAAGGCGACGAUCCGUAGCGGGUCUGAGAGGAUGAUCCGCCACACUGGGACUGAGACACGGCCCAGACUCCUACGGGAGGCAGCAGUGGGGAAUUUUGGACAAUGGGCGCAAGCCUGAUCCAGCCAUGCCGCGUGAGUGAAGAAGGCC